GGGUCAGUAGGUUGGUCUUGCCACCGGUACGUACUGGUCUCACUGAUUCCUCCUUCCUGAAGAACCGUAAUGCCAUUAAUUUGGUGUUGCGGGGAAACAGGACUGUUACUUUGAAAAAAUUAGAGUGUUUAAAGCAAGCUAACGCUUGAAUAUAUUAGCAUGGAAUAAUGAAAUAGGACGAUCGAUCCUAUUUUGUUGGUUUCUAGGAUUGACGUA
This 216-nucleotide ribosomal RNA is filed under the name Glomeromycotina sp. RNAcentral's name for it is "partial small subunit ribosomal RNA". The stretch from base 40 to 216 matches the Rfam family "Eukaryotic small subunit ribosomal RNA", at positions 686 to 864 of the family's 1831-position model. Lineage: Eukaryota; Fungi; Glomeromycota. The record is from RNAcentral.